CCUGGCUCAGGAUGAACGCUAGCUACAGGCUUAACACAUGCAAUGUCGACGGGGCAGCGAUGGUACUUAGCGUUGCUAAGGCCGAUGGCGACCGGCGCACGGGUGAGUAACACGUAUCCAACCUGCCGUCUACUCUUGGACAGCCUUCUGAAAGGAAGAUUAAUACAAGAUGGCAUCAUGAGUCCGCAUGUUCACAUGAUUAAAGGUAUUCCGGUAGACGAUGGGGAUGCGUUCCAUUAGAUAGUAGGCGGGGUAACGGCCCACCUAGUCUUCGAUGGAUAGGGGUUCUGAGAGGAAGGUCCCCCACAUUGGAACUGAGACACGGUCCAAACUCCUACGGGAGGCAGCAGUGAGGAAUAUUGGUCAAUGGGCGAGAGCCUGAACCAGCCAAGUAGCGUGAAGGAUGACUGCCCUAUGGGUUGUAAACUUCUUUUAUAAAGGAAUAAAGUCGGGUAUGGAUACCCGUUUGCAUGUACUUUAUGAAUAAGGAUCGGCUAACUCCGUGCCAGCAGCCGCGGUAAUACGGAGGAUCCGAGCGUUAUCCGGAUUUAUUGGUUUAAAGGGAGCGUAGAUGGAUGUUUAAGUCAGUUGUGAAAGUUGCGGCUCAACCGUAAAAAUUGCAGUUGAUACUGGAUAUCUUGAGUGCAGUGACGGCAGGCGGAAUUCGUGGUGUAGCGGUGAAAUGCUUAGAUAUCACGAAGAACUCCGAUUGCGAAGGCAGCCUGCUAAGCUGCAACUGACAUUGAGGCUCGAAAGUGUGGGUAUCAAACAGGAUUAGAUACCCUGGUAGUCCACACGGUAAACGAUGAAUACUCGCUGUUUGCGAUAUACUGCAAGCGGCCAAGCGAAAGCGUUAAGUAUUCCACCUGGGGAGUACGCCGGCAACGGUGAAACUCAAAGGAAUUGACGGGGGCCCGCACAAGCGGAGGAACAUGUGGUUUAAUUCGAUGAUACGCGAGGAACCUUACCCGGGCUUAAAUUGCAGAUGAAUUACGGUGAAAGCCGUAAGCCGCAAGGCAUCUGUGAAGGUGCUGCAUGGUUGUCGUCAGCUCGUGCCGUGAGGUGUCGGCUUAAGUGCCAUAACGAGCGCAACCCUUGUUGUCAGUUACUAACAGGUUCCGCUGAGGACUCUGACAAGACUGCCAUCGUAAGAUGUGAGGAAGGUGGGGAUGACGUCAAAUCAGCACGGCCCUUACGUCCGGGGCUACACACGUGUUACAAUGGGGGGUACAGAGGGCCGCUACCACGCGAGUGGAUGCCAAUCCCCAAAACCUCUCUCAGUUCGGACUGGAGUCUGCAACCCGACUCCACGAAGCUGGAUUCGCUAGUAAUCGCGCAUCAGCCACGGCGCGGUGAAUACGUUCCCGGGCCUUGUACACACCGCC
Molecule: ribosomal RNA, 1385 nt
Filed under: uncultured bacterium
Lineage: Bacteria
Description: bacterial SSU rRNA
Rfam family: Bacterial small subunit ribosomal RNA
Source: RNAcentral